ACUCCUGCGGGAGGCAGCAGUGGGGAAUUUUGGACAAUGGGCGAAAGCCUGAUCCAGCAAUGCCGCGUGAGUGAAGAAGGCCUUCGGGUUGUAAAGCUCUUUUGUCAGGGAAGAAACGGUGAAAGCUAAUAUCUUUUGCUAAUGACGGUACCUGAAGAAUAAGCACCGGCUAACUACGUGCCAGCAGCCGCGGUAAUACGUAGGGUGCAAGCGUUAAUCGGAAUUACUGGGCGUAAAGCGUGCGCAGGCGGUUUUGUAAGUCUGAUGUGAAAUCCCCGGGCUCAACCUGGGAAUUGCAUUGGAGACUGCAAGGCUAGAAUCUGGCAGAGGGGGGUAGAAUUCCACGUGUAGCAGUGAAAUGCGUAGAUAUGUGGAGGAACACCGAUGGCGAAGGCAGCCCCCUGGGUCAAGAUUGACGCUCAUGCACGAAAGCGUGGGGAGCAAACAGGAUUAGAAACCCCUGUAGUCCCAUGAU
This 475-nucleotide ribosomal RNA is filed under the name uncultured organism. RNAcentral describes it as "partial 16S ribosomal RNA". It matches the Rfam family "Bacterial small subunit ribosomal RNA", at positions 335 to 801 of the family's 1533-position model. The record is from RNAcentral.